RNAcentral lists this long non-coding RNA (542 nucleotides) under Bos taurus (domestic cattle). RNAcentral describes it as "long non-coding RNA NONBTAT017043". The record is from RNAcentral. Lineage: Eukaryota; Metazoa; Chordata; Mammalia; Artiodactyla; Bovidae.
GAAAAUAUGUUAAUAGAUAUUGGAAGUUAUACUGUCAUUCUGAGGGUCUUUUGGAGAUGGGAAUGAGGCUUUGAGCCUGUGUUUCUGAAGCAUUAUAAAAGCAUUGUAAAAAGAUACUAAAUUUAGUGUUGUGUGCCAAUUUAACAAUAGUUAAAUGUUAGACUAAACUCAUAUUCUCACUGCUAGUGUUCAUAGGGCCUUCCUCUUCUGAGAGAUUUAUUCUUCCUUAAGGAGAAAGUGUUAGUAGUUUUUUUCUAAAUGAAAGGAAACAGCAAUUUAUUUGUAUAAAACAAAAUAAUGUCACAUUUGUAUUUGCAUUAGCCACAAUAGCAGAUAGUCCAUAAAUCUAUGUACUACAAGCAUUAUAAAAUGACUAGAAAGAUUUGUUAGUAGCAUGCCACAUUUCACAGGUUGCGGUAAAUAUAAAAGCAACUUAAUAGUUAGUAACAUAUUCUACUGUAAUAUUAGUAUUACUAAAUCAUACUUUAAUACCAAAAGUUUAUAAAUUUGUAAGAGUUUAAUGAACAGCUGGGUAAUCCCGC